Molecule: ribosomal RNA, 465 nt
Filed under: uncultured bacterium
Lineage: Bacteria
Description: partial 16S ribosomal RNA
Rfam family: Bacterial small subunit ribosomal RNA
Source: RNAcentral
GAUGAACGCUGGCGGCGUGCUUAACACAUGCAAGUCGAACGGAAAGGCUCCUGCUUGCAGGGGUACUCGAGUGGCGAACGGGUGAGUAACACGUGGGUGAUCUGCCCUGCACUUCGGGAUAAGCCUGGGAAACUGGGUCUAAUACCGGAUAGGACGAUGGUUUGGAUGCCAUUGUGGAAAGUUUUUCGGUGUGGGAUGAGCUCGCGGCCUAUCAGCUUGUUGGUGGGGUAAUGGCCUACCAAGGCGUCGACGGGUAGCCGGCCUGAGAGGGUGUACGGCCUGAUUGGGCCUAAAAAACGGCCACGCCCCAUGGGGGGGGGAGGGGGGGGGAUUAUGCCGGAGGGGGAGGAGGCCGGGUGCAGCGCGCCGGGGGGGGGGAAGGCGGCUUUGGGGUUGAAACCCCUUUUCGCAAGGGAGAAGGGGGAGGUGGGGGGCCCGGGGAAAAAGGCCCAGACUAACUAGUGC